RNAcentral lists this ribosomal RNA (451 nucleotides) under uncultured bacterium. RNAcentral describes it as "partial 16S ribosomal RNA". It matches the Rfam family "Bacterial small subunit ribosomal RNA", at positions 28 to 507 of the family's 1533-position model. The record is from RNAcentral.
GAUGAAUGCUGGCGGCGUGCCUAACACAUGCAAGUCGAGCGGCAGCGCGGGGUGCUUGCACCCUGUCGGCGAGCGGCGAACGGCUGAGUAACGCGUAGGAAUUUGCCCCAAAGUGAGGAAUAACUGCCCGAAAGGGUAGCUAAUGCCGCAUAUGGUCUUCGGAUUAAAGGAUUUAUCCGCUUUGGGAGAAGCCUGCGUUGGAUUAGGUUGUUGGUAGGGUAAUGGCCUACCAAGCCGACGAUCCAUAGCUGGUCUGAGAGGAUGAUCAGCCAGACUGGAACUGAGACACGGUCCAGACUCCUACGGGAGGCAGCAGUGAGGAAUCUUCCACAAUGGGCGAAAGCCUGAUGGAGCAACGCCGCGUGAAGGAUGAAGGCCUUCGGGUUGUAAACUUCUUUUAUGAGUGAAGAAUAUGACGGUAACUCGUGAAUAAGCACCGGCUAACUACGUG